This 492-nucleotide ribosomal RNA is filed under the name Paenibacillaceae bacterium CL2.17. RNAcentral's name for it is "bacterial SSU rRNA". It matches the Rfam family "Bacterial small subunit ribosomal RNA", at positions 17 to 500 of the family's 1533-position model. Lineage: Bacteria; Bacillati; Bacillota; Bacilli; Caryophanales; Paenibacillaceae. The record is from RNAcentral.
CCCUGGCUCAGACGAACGCGGCGGCGUGCCUAAUACAUGCAAGUCGAGCGGGUUUAUCCUUCGGGAUAAGCUAGCGGCGGACGGGUGAGUAACACGUAGGUAACCUGCCUUUAAGACUGGGAUAACUAUCGGAAACGAUAGCUAAGACCGGAUAACUGGUUUUCUCGCAUGAGAGAAUCAUAAAACACGGAGCAAUCUGUGGCUUAAAGAUGGGCCUGCGGCGCAUUAGCUAGUUGGUGAGGUAACGGCUCACCAAGGCGACGAUGCGUAGCCGACCUGAGAGGGUGAACGGCCACACUGGGACUGAGACACGGCCCAGACUCCUACGGGAGGCAGCAGUAGGGAAUCUUCCGCAAUGGACGCAAGUCUGACGGAGCAACGCCGCGUGAGUGAUGAAGGUUUUCGGAUCGUAAAGCUCUGUUGCCCUAGACGAACAGCAUGAGGAGUAACUGCCCUUGUGUGUGACGGUAUAGGAGAAGAAAGCCCGGCUAA